Molecule: long non-coding RNA, 6240 nt
Organism: Hydractinia symbiolongicarpus
Lineage: Eukaryota; Metazoa; Cnidaria; Hydrozoa; Anthoathecata; Hydractiniidae
Exons: 7
Source: RefSeq, a predicted model, not a curated record
ACGUGUUUCUGAAACUGAACCCUUUUUUGUUAUAAUAUUUAUGUGUUAACAUUUUAUUGUAAAAUUUUUAGAAGCAAAACAAAACAAAAAAGGACCAAGAGAAAUAUUCUACAUCUGAUGUGCUGCCAUGAACAUAUAUUUAAAAGAUGUACAAGUUUGCGGUUGGCUUAUGGACUCAACAAAUUUAAUAUAAGAUUAUGUUGAAAUUACCUGCUUUGAAUUGUUGCUACACGUUAUAUCAUGCACAUAAAAGAUUACCCACUAAUAACUUCGUUUUGGGACAUAGCAGUUAACAUGUAUGACAUCGUAGAAUUCGUCAUACACCUUGCAGACCGAAGAAAUACGUUGAUUCUUUUUGAGAACAUUACAUUAACAGUACCUGAAAUCUGACGGUUCAGUGAUAGUUGGUAAACUUGUGCCGAACCUUCGCCAUCAUGAUGGAAGACUGUUGUAUAAACUGCUGAAGGGUCAUAUGCAACUAAAGUUGCAACUGAAGAAGCUAUGUUGCGUAGAAAGAAAAUAGAAGUAACUACAUCGCAAUGCAGAUUGUACUAGUCUUUGACAAAAGGUGGAAGUUUCUUUCAAAGAAUAACAAGCCGCACAAGAACUUCUGCAUUCUUUCCUUUCAGGGAUGAGAAGUGAUAGAAAAGGAAUGGAUUUUAGCUGUACUGAAACAAACAGUUGUGAAUUGCAAAGCAUGCGGAUUGGUGAAAUAUACCAUGCUUGGGAUCUGGUGUGUUACCUUGAGUUAGCAUCCCUUGCCUGUUGCAAGACACCAGUUAUAUGUAUAGGCACUAUCCGCAAUAACCAAUAAUUUUUGUUCAACGUAUACAAUAAUUCAAAUGUUAUAUUUAAUGAAUUUCUUUCUGGAGCUUUUCCGUUAUUACCAUCCUCGAUUGUGGACACAAAUCUCACCAUAAAUGAUGUUAUUGCACUUCAUCAUGUGUUGUACAUUACGUAAAAGGCUCUUGCUUUAGUUUUAUCUCAUAAAAUAACAUUCUAUGAGUUGCUAUUGUUGUGGUUAAACAUUCACAUUCAAAAUGCACAGAUUAAAUCGAUGCCUUACUGCACCAUUCCACAUGAAAUUCAAUUGACAAUUUAUUGGAUUCUAUAGUGAAGCUGUGGCUAUGCUUUCAUGUUUUUGUAGUUUGUGUGAGAGCAUUGAUGUACUUGCAGUACUCCUACUUAUAACAGUAUCAAUUACCAAUUAAUUGUGGUACCAGAAAAAAAAUAGACGUCUUGGGCCACAUUUAAUGCAGUGAUCAGUACGGCACAGCUAUGUCGAAAAUGUCUCAUGUUUUAUUCAUUGUCUCUCAAAGAGGUUCUGAUGGACAUCACAGAAGUGAGAAAACAACUGCACUUUCGCAAUCUGACAGCACUGGUUAAAUGCUGUUGGUGGAAAAACAUGCCGCGUGAAUGAAAUCUCCUGCGGAGUUUGAUCAAUUACUUAGCAGUUAUAUUUAUUGCUAAGGAAAUGUAAUUAUGAUGAAAGUUGUUUGUUAUGACAACUUAUUGUAAUAUUGUUUUAUAAUAACAUAUUAAUGAAGUUGCUUUUACUGACACUGUUGCAAUAAAUUGAAAAAUAAUUAAAAGUUGUUUAUUGCCAGGAAAAUUUUUCUGGGGAUUUAAAAAAUAUGUUGUUUACCAUGUCUUUGUUAACUGUGACACCUUAUCAAUAUUGUUCUACUUUUUUCCUGUUUUGUUAAAAAUAUGCGAUAUCAUGUGCUCUGGAAAAGGUGGUAAUGCUGGAAGCGCCACAGACAACAUGCACGGCAAUACGUGAAAAAACUUUAUAAUUGUUCACAUUUCUUUCGUUACUGUAUGUUGUUAACAACAGUCAACUUUUGGUAAGCAAUAAUACGACUUUACGCUUAGCAAAGUAUAACGAGCAGGUAAAAACAGUCAGACAGUAAUUUAAAGUUUAGACCAGACUGCAUUAAAGUAAAUCUGAAACUUGUUUUCCUGUUCUAGUUUCGUCCCCUGUAAUAAUUUAAGGUAGGUGUUAUUGACGCCAAGUAUAGAGUGGCCAUACAUUCAGCAAUUGCGAUACCCAAAUGCUUUUUGUAUAACCAAAUGUUCUCCGAAAUAUCCAGAUGAUAUCUUACAUUAAAAACGUGUUUUUUUAUUAUUUUUUUCUAAUAUUUCUUAGAAACAGUAUUCAUAUAUUUUUUUCUUUCCUUUUUCUUUUCUGUAUUUUUUCAUGAUUAUUCAGCCUUUACGAGAGCACCUUAUGUAAUUAUGUUAUCAUUAUCUAAUAUUUUUGAAAACUGUGAUAUCGAACACAUAGCUAUAAUUACGAUUUUUAGUUAUAUAUAUUUUUAAUUGGCUCGUUUUCGUAUAUUUUAGAAUUUUUACAAUCAUAGAACCCUGAUCUUUUUGUUAUAUUUUCCAAUUUUGUUAUUUCUUGAAAUUGAUAUGUUAUAUCACAGGCUAUUUAACUGACAUUUUUAUAUGUUUACAUGUUAUUACGUAUACACGUGUGUUUUUUAUUUUAAAUUUCAAGACUUACUUUCCAUUAUAUGAAUAUUAUAAACUUAGUGUUUUGACAAUUAUUUUAGUUAUUUUAUUCCCAAAAGGUGUGUAAGGUAAUGGUCUGUGUAUCUGGCCUUGAUGUAUGACAUUUUAUAGUAUAUUUCCACGUGACGUGAAAGAGAUUUUUGUUGCUGAUUAUCGGUGAUCAUACGAUAAAACGUCCACGUGUUGAGAUUGAACCAUGCAAUUGUAAGUGAACGUUGGCUGGUAUUUAAUGCUGCUCGUGCUGUGCAAAAAUACGCUUGUCGUAAUGUCAAACAAAACUGCAUAACGAAUGUUUUCCGAAUUAAUUCUGAGUGAACGUUGGUUUGUAAGUAAUGCGGAAUUUGAUUUUGCAUGCUCGUGUAACGAUUCUAAUACGAAAACACGUAUACAGAUCGAAUGUGAGUAACAAAAUGGGAUUGGCAUGGUAAACAUGAUUUGAACGAAAUUUAUGGAUUAAGUUAUUCGCUUUACAGUAAUCCGUAAGACGACUUAGUCAGACUGAACAUUAUAACAGUAAGUUUCACUUAAAUGCGUGUCGCGUAUGGAUAGCAUGAUUAAAAGUAUCAACUCACUUAGAACUUUCUUUCUUAUUUUGAAGAUGAUCACUAUGAUAUAUUUUCUCCAGAUGCUUUGUCAAAAAAUAUUUUAACAUCUUUAGGUCGCAUUUUCAUCAGAACAUAUUACAAUCGUUUCAAAAGUUUAGUAAAACGUAAAAACGUUAGAUUUCUCCAAAAAUCUAAUGCAUCAGUAAUAUAAUAAUUCUAAGCCUUUCAACGCUAUUAUACCAGAGUUUUUUGCCCAUUGUAGCCCUGGAAAAGGGGGGAGAGGGUGGGUAGGGGAUUGUGGUAUGUAUCCUUGAAGACUGAACCAUUCAUUAGCAUAUAUAAAAAAUUAUUUUAACAUCAAAACAGCGCAAAAAAUGUUUUAAGUUGACCUGCCGAAAAAAUAAUUCUAAGAAACAGGAAAGUUCAGUUUCUCCAACCAAAUAUUUUGUUCACGAUGGAUAAAUAAAACUUAAAAAAAGUCACCAAGUUUCAGAACUAUCAUCAGCUCUCUUUUUGUGACUUAUGCCUGCACAAGCAUAUAAUCAUUAAAACGGGAUAAGCACAAAGAAGAUUUUGUCGUUUUUAAAUUUGACGUCCUGUUUAACAAAUGCGUGUGAUCUGGAUCAUACAUCAUGUAAGUUGUUAAAAGCCGAAUCUUAGAAUAUCAAUUGUUUACUUUUAAUUUCUUAACCCUUAAAAUACUCUCGCGUUUAAAUGGUUUAAAUACCAAAAAACAAUUCGUAUUUAAGAAUCCCAGUUGUCAUCGGUUGCUAAGGAAAUGACAUAGAUAGUUUGAUUUCGAAAAUAUUUUAAACUACGACAUCAAUGAAACUCUCAAAAUUUGCACACCACAUCAAAUAAAAUGAUGUAAAUUUAAGUUGGAGUCAAAGAUAUUUUUCAGUUGUUUUGUUAUUUUUUAGAAAAAGUUUAUUCGAAGAUGGUUAAAUUCAUAAUUUUCAUCUAAAGAAAGAAGUCUUCCCAAAAACGUAAAAGUUGCCAUGUAGAAGUUAAAGAUGACAAAAUUAUAUGUUGUUAUAAUGGCUUCUAAACACAUUCUUUAUAACAAUUCAAUUUUUUGGCUGCUAUGGAAGACCUCAAACAAACUGUAUAAAAACGUCGUUGGGUAAUUACGAAAAAAACGUGUCACAUGGAUGUUAGAAUUAUAGCUUGUGUCAAAUUGCUUGAGAUGAAACGGAGUGACAUCUAAUGCUAGUGAGUUCGUUCUGUCAAGUGCUUACACAGAAUUUACAGUAUCAGAGAGUUUAAAAGAAUCAUUUUAACCUUUUUGGAAGCUGAAUUAUACAAGCGUCAGCUACGUAAUCCAAACAAGAAAUCGCAUGAAGAGUUGUCUAAUUCGAUUUAAUGUUGCUGGUGGUGAUGGAUACAUUGAAGAGUACAAUCUCCUUUCUCACGAUUACUUUGGUCGACUGAAUAAUUCUAUUCAGGUAACUGGCUGAUCAAAUGGUAUUAUUUUAGAAAUUGUUGAAAACAAUGCAUGAAACCAACAUAAAAUAUUUUUUGCCAAAACAUACGAAGAUCAUAGGUGUUAGCACGGUGGUUGUAGUGUUGAUACUGACACGAUGUAUGGUAUCUUUGCUCACAUGAAAAUGGACAAAUGCUAUGAGUUUUGACAGAUUUUGAAAUAUGAACGAAAUAAUUGGUUUUGACAGUAACUCUAAUGUGUAAGUGAAAAAAAAACUUGACAGCAUCUGUGUAAUUUCAUCAAUGGGCUCAACAUCACACGUCUGAGUUAAUAUCGUCCUAUACGGAAACUGCAGAAAAAUUUAGAACCUCUCACGAACUUAAACCUCACUCAAGAUGAAGAAGAUGAAUAUUAUAUUUUGCAUGAAACUUCUAUAACAAGGAACACGUACCAACUGCGCCAGGCUACCUGAAAAUUUGAUUUCAAGUUUAAAUAAAUCAAACGUAGGUAUUGGAGUUUCGACUAAAUGUGUUAGAGAAAACAAAUUUUCCUAUUAAUCGUUGUAUUUUUAUUUAUUUUAAUUUAUUUUCUCUAUUUAGUGUGUGAACAUUUCAACAUACAAACAAUUUUGCACAGUCGUUACAAUUUUUGAAGAAAACGAAUCAAUUUUGAGUUAACAGAUACUGCGUUUCUCCGUCACAAUGGCAAGAUCAAUUUCUAUGCAAGUUCGAUGAGUAUCCAGAUCAGUUAUACCGUCCUAACCAUCAUCUCAGUUCUUUGCACAAAAGUAAUUUUCUUCAAGGUCUGUGUGCUUUUGUAUACUGAAAUUUAAACUUCAAUACUUUAUGUGCGUACAAAUCUGGCGCACAAACAAAAGAUUUAGUACAAAAAUUACACACCAAGCGUUUCACUUGAAUAUUAUAACGCGUAAAAUACGUUCAUGAUACUAUUACACUAAAAGUUAUUCAGCGCGCAACAAGUGUAAUACCAAAAAGACGUUUAUAGGCAUUUCAGACCGCGAAACUUGUCUGAUAUGGCUCUUUUUAACAAAAUACUGUUUUUGCGCUUAUCUAUACAAUUUCUUAUCAAUUGCUACCACAUCCAUAAGACAAUCAUGACUGAUUGGAAUGGAGGCCUAUGGAUGUUGCGUACAGCUCAGCAUGUUUAAUCUCAAUUUGCUGCUUCUGGUAACUGCGUGUAUUUAUUUGACGUCUAUUGCUGUACAUCUGUAAGCUAAUUUAGAAACUGGGGCUCUUGUAGUCGAAAAACGCCCCUCAAUUUCACCUAUAAUCAUAGCAGCAGUAAUUUUCGCAAAACGUAACCAUAUGUGACAAUAAACUUACCUUGCCACUAAAGAAACUUAUAGAAAACAAACAACCGAUUUAAUCUCAACAAUAUCAUACCGUUCGUACAAUUAAAGCUAUAAAAACAUCACAAGUCAUGCUCAAUAUCAUAACGAACAGCAGCUGCGGUUUUUUUUUUGCCUGUUAAUUGGUUUGUUUUGUACUGUAUCUUAAGAGAUUGUUUGCGGUACAAAUGCUUAAGUCAUAGGCUGAAUUUUAUUAUCAAACGUUUUACACAUGUACGCAUAAGUAGCUUUGUAUUUUUUACUUCCCAAUCUACAUUCAGUGCGCACAACGUAAAUUUAUUCUUUCAUUGCAAGCAGCAACUUUUUUCCUUUUUUGGUCUAGUCUCUCAAUAAAAACUGAAAUAUCAUCCAGCAAACUUUCCAGACUAUUUAUGCACUUACAUAUA